This 290-nucleotide unclassified non-coding RNA is filed under the name uncultured Ascomycota. RNAcentral describes it as "sequence contains ITS1". The stretch from base 1 to 103 matches the Rfam family "5.8S ribosomal RNA", at positions 50 to 154 of the family's 154-position model. The record is from RNAcentral. Lineage: Eukaryota; Fungi; Ascomycota.
GAAAUGCGAUACGUAAUGCGAAUUGCAGAAUCCGUGAAUCAUCAAAUCUUUGAACGCACAUUGCACUUCCAGGUUGACUGGAAGUAUUCCUGUUUCAGUGUCUGUUCACCCCUCUCACUGAAUUUCUCAGUGGACUUUGGGUCUUCGAAUUUACGUGUUUGAACAUGUUGACCUUAAGCGUGAUAUGUAUGAACUUAUCCAAACUAUCAGGAUAAUGAAACAUGGAAUUGUUCAUUCAAUUUUAUCAACAAUCAGACCUGAAAUCAGGAAAGGAAACCCCCUGAAUUUAA